Molecule: ribosomal RNA, 1019 nt
Filed under: Lactiplantibacillus plantarum
Lineage: Bacteria; Bacillati; Bacillota; Bacilli; Lactobacillales; Lactobacillaceae
Description: bacterial SSU rRNA
Rfam family: Bacterial small subunit ribosomal RNA
Source: RNAcentral
AUAUCUGAGAGUAACUGUUCAGGUAUUGACGGUAUUUAACCAGAAAGCCACGGCUAACUACGUGCCAGCAGCCGCGGUAAUACGUAGGUGGCAAGCGUUGUCCGGAUUUAUUGGGCGUAAAGCGAGCGCAGGCGGUUUUUUAAGUCUGAUGUGAAAGCUUUCGGCUCAACCGAAGAAGUGCAUCGGAAACUGGGAAACUUGAGUGCAGAAGAGGACAGUGGAACUCCAUGUGUAGCGGUGAAAUGCGUAGAUAUAUGGAAGAACACCAGUGGCGAAGGCGGCUGUCUGGUCUGUAACUGACGCUGAGGCUCGAAAGUAUGGGUAGCAAACAGGAUUAGAUACCCUGGUAGUCCAUACCGUAAACGAUGAAUGCUAAGUGUUGGAGGGUUUCCGCCCUUCAGUGCUGCAGCUAACGCAUUAAGCAUUCCGCCUGGGGAGUACGGCCGCAAGGCUGAAACUCAAAGGAAUUGACGGGGGCCCGCACAAGCGGUGGAGCAUGUGGUUUAAUUCGAAGCUACGCGAAGAACCUUACCAGGUCUUGACAUACUAUGCAAAUCUAAGAGAUUAGACGUUCCCUUCGGGGACAUGGAUACAGGUGGUGCAUGGUUGUCGUCAGCUCGUGUCGUGAGAUGUUGGGUUAAGUCCCGCAACGAGCGCAACCCUUAUUAUCAGUUGCCAGCAUUAAGUUGGGCACUCUGGUGAGACUGCCGGUGACAAACCGGAGGAAGGUGGGGAUGACGUCAAAUCAUCAUGCCCCUUAUGACCUGGGCUACACACGUGCUACAAUGGAUGGUACAACGAGUUGCGAACUCGCGAGAGUAAGCUAAUCUCUUAAAGCCAUUCUCAGUUCGGAUUGUAGGCUGCAACUCGCCUACAUGAAGUCGGAAUCGCUAGUAAUCGCGGAUCAGCAUGCCGCGGUGAAUACGUUCCCGGGCCUUGUACACACCGCCCGUCACACCAUGAGAGUUUGUAACACCCAAAGUCGGUGGGGUAACCUUUUAGGAACCAGCCGCUUAAAG